This 178-nucleotide ribosomal RNA is filed under the name Escherichia coli. RNAcentral's name for it is "partial 23S ribosomal RNA". The stretch from base 1 to 160 matches the Rfam family "Bacterial large subunit ribosomal RNA", at positions 2771 to 2925 of the family's 2925-position model. The record is from RNAcentral. Lineage: Bacteria; Pseudomonadati; Pseudomonadota; Gammaproteobacteria; Enterobacterales; Enterobacteriaceae.
CUGAAAGCAUCUAAGCACGAAACUUGCCCCGAGAUGAGUUCUCCCUGACUCCUUGAGAGUCCUGAAGGAACGUUGAAGACGACGACGUUGAUAGGCCGGAUGUGUAAGCGCAGCGAUGCGUUGAGCUAACCGGUACUAAUGAACCGUGAGGCUUAACCUUACAACGCCGAAGGUGUUU